GACGGGGGCCCGCACAAGCGGAGGAACAUGUGGUUUAAUUCGAUGAUACGCGAGGAACCUUACCCGGGCUUGAAUUGCAGGAGAACGAUACAGAGGUGUUGAGGUCCUUCGGGACUCCUGUGAAGGUGCUGCAUGGUUGUCGUCAGCUCGUGCCGUGAGGUGUCGGCUUAAGUGCCAUAACGAGCGCAACCCUUGCUGUCAGUUGCCAUCAGGUAGAGCUGGGCACUCUGGCGGGACUGCCAUCGCAAGAUGUGAGGAAGGUGGGGAUGACGUCAAAUCAGCACGGCCCUUACGUCCGGGGCUACACACGUGUUACAAUGGGGGGUACAGAAUGUUGCUUACGGGCGACCGUUGGCGGAUCAUCAAAUCCCCUCUCAGUUCGGACUGGAGUCUGCAACCCGACUCCACGAAGCUGGAUUCGCUAGUAAUCGCGCAUCAGCCAUGGCGCGGUGAAUACGUUCCCGGGCCUUGUACACACCGCCCGUCAAGCCAUGAAAGCCGGGGGCGCCUGAAGUCCGUUGGGCGCGAGGAUCGGCCUAGGUUUAAAACUGGUG
RNAcentral lists this ribosomal RNA (554 nucleotides) under uncultured bacterium. Its description in RNAcentral is "bacterial SSU rRNA". It matches the Rfam family "Bacterial small subunit ribosomal RNA", at positions 912 to 1464 of the family's 1533-position model. The record is from RNAcentral.